Molecule: small nuclear RNA, 91 nt
Filed under: Caenorhabditis elegans
Lineage: Eukaryota; Metazoa; Nematoda; Chromadorea; Rhabditida; Rhabditidae
Source: RNAcentral
GAAAAUCUUUUGCCUUUUACUGAAUAUUUCCUUGCAAAGGAGCAUACAUUGAGUAUUAUAUACAAUUUUUGGAGUCCCCUUGAGAAAGCGG